RNAcentral lists this long non-coding RNA (1196 nucleotides) under Homo sapiens (human). RNAcentral's name for it is "HSALNT0108524". The record is from RNAcentral. Lineage: Eukaryota; Metazoa; Chordata; Mammalia; Primates; Hominidae.
CGAUAGUUUACUGAGAAUGAUGAUUUCCAAUUUCAUCCAUGUAUCUAAUUAAACUAAAGAGCUUCUGCACAGCAAAAGAAACUACCAUCAGAGUGAACAGGCAACCUACAAAAUGGGAGAAAAUUUUCGCAACCUACUCAUCUGACAAAUGGCUAAUAUCCACAAUCUACAAUGAACUCAAACAAAUUUACAAGAAAAAAACAAACAACCCCAUCAAAAAGUGGGUGAAGGACAUGAACAGACACUUCUCAAAAGAAGACAUUUAUGCAGCCAAAAAACACAUGAAAAAAAUGCUCAGAAAAUUUUUAAGAAGAGAUACCAAGUCUGGGGGAAAUUCUGGCAGAACCAACCUAACAGGAUUCCUGCUGAAAACAGGCGAGGGUGAUCAGCUAACAGGAGUGGGCAGAGAAAAAUUUUGAUCAGAUACUGAGGGUGAUCAGAUAUCAAGGAUGAAUAAUUCUUGCUAAACUGUGUUGGCCGUAUUAUUUGCUAAAACUGGGUUUUAGAAUGAUGUGCACAGACAGGCCCAGGAGAAAGUCCAGAAGCCUGACUAAAGUUUGGCCAAGCAAAGAACUGUUGUUAGAAUACAGUCCCACAAGAAGCCAAAUGACAAAAUAAAUAUAUAUAUAUAUAAACAACAGAAGAAGAGCUUCUGGCAAGUAAGUUUGAGAAAUAGCUGUAUAUCACAUGCACCUUUGAAAGUGUAUUUUAAAUAACAUUAUACCAAAAUUUCUUCAUUUGUUCUUUCUGUAUCUACUCUAUUAAUAUGCUGCUUUAUUCUUUUUCUCAUUUAUUAAACAUUAGGAUUUAAUAUACUAACUUCUUUUCUAUUAUUAAUAACUGAUCAUCAUGACACUCAUGAUUAAUUAAAUGUUUCAUUACAUAAGAAUGGCAUUGGGGCAAUAUGGAAAAAAGAGGUAGGUUUUAUUUAUCUAUAGAUAUUUAUUUUAUUUUAUUUUUUUUUGAGUGAAAUUCUGCUUUAUUUUAUAAUUAGAAAGGGCCAAGCUUUCUCCUGGUUCAGCAAACCUAGGGUCCAUCUGUCAGUCCUGACAUUUCUCUAGGGGAAGGUGGAAGGAGAGAAUUAGAGAUGUCUCUAGUUGCAGAAUUAUGGCCUGCAGUGGGUCAAAGGAACAUGACUAAGACCUCACAAAAGACAAGAUUCUAUCUUGUGGUGAGGGGUGUGGUUGGGGGUAGGA